RNAcentral lists this transfer RNA (55 nucleotides) under Celleporella hyalina. RNAcentral describes it as "tRNA-Ser". The record is from RNAcentral. Lineage: Eukaryota; Metazoa; Bryozoa; Gymnolaemata; Cheilostomatida; Hippothoidae.
AGGUUUUUAAGCUAGAUUUGAAAUCUUAAAAAAGAAGUAGUACUUCAGAAAUCUC